This 253-nucleotide ribosomal RNA is filed under the name uncultured bacterium. RNAcentral's name for it is "partial 16S ribosomal RNA". It matches the Rfam family "Bacterial small subunit ribosomal RNA", at positions 524 to 776 of the family's 1533-position model. The record is from RNAcentral.
UACGUAGGGUGCGAGCGUUGUCCGGAAUUAUUGGGCGUAAAGAGCUCGUAGGCGGUUUGUCGCGUCGGCCGUGAAAUCUCCACGCUUAACGUGGAGCGUGCGGUCGAUACGGGCAGACUUGAGUUCGGUAGGGGAGACUGGAAUUCCUGGUGUAGCGGUGAAAUGCGCAGAUAUCAGGAGGAACACCGGUGGCGAAGGCGGAUCUCUGGGCCAUUACUGACGCUGAGGAGCGAAAGCGUGGGGAGCGAACAGG